Molecule: ribosomal RNA, 1034 nt
Filed under: actinomycete CXB698
Lineage: Bacteria; Bacillati; Actinomycetota; Actinomycetes; Actinomycetales
Description: bacterial SSU rRNA
Rfam family: Bacterial small subunit ribosomal RNA
Source: RNAcentral
UAUGAUGCGGCAGCUUACCAUGCAGUCGAACGAUGAACCGCUUUCGGGCGGGGAUUAGUGGCGAACGGGUGAGUAACACGUGGGCAAUCUGCCCUGCACUCUGGGACAAGCCCUGGAAACGGGGUCUAAUACCGGAUAUGACUGUCCGCCGCAUGGUGGAUGGUGUAAAGCUCCGGCGGUGCAGGAUGAGCCCGCGGCCUAUCAGCUUGUUGGUGAGGUAGUGGCUCACCAAGGCGACGACGGGUAGCCGGCCUGAGAGGGCGACCGGCCACACUGGGACUGAGACACGGCCCAGACUCCUACGGGAGGCAGCAGUGGGGAAUAUUGCACAAUGGGCGAAAGCCUGAUGCAGCGACGCCGCGUGAGGGAUGACGGCCUUCGGGUUGUAAACCUCUUUCAGCAGGGAAGAAGCGAGAGUGACGGUACCUGCAGAAGAAGCGCCGGCUAACUACGUGCCAGCAGCCGCGGUAAUACGUAGGGCGCAAGCGUUGUCCGGAAUUAUUGGGCGUAAAGAGCUCGUAGGCGGCUUGUCACGUCGGUUGUGAAAGCCCGGGGCUUAACCCCGGGUCUGCAGUCGAUACGGGCAGGCUAGAGUUCGGUAGGGGAGAUCGGAAUUCCUGGUGUAGCGGUGAAAUGCGCAGAUAUCAGGAGGAACACCGGUGGCGAAGGCGGAUCUCUGGGCCGAUACUGACGCUGAGGAGCGAAAGCGUGGGGAGCGAACAGGAUUAGAUACCCUGGUAGUCCACGCCGUAAACGGUGGGCACUAGGUGUGGGCAACAUUCCACGUUGUCCGUGCCGCAGCUAACGCAUUAAGUGCCCCGCCUGGGGAGUACGGCCGCAAGGCUAAAACUCAAAGGAUCUGACGGGGGCCCGCACAAGCGGCGGAGCAUGUGGCUUAAUUCGACGCAUCGCGAAGAAUCUUAUCAAGGGCUUGACAUACACCCGCAAACGUCUGGAGACAGGCGCCCCCUUGUGAUGGGUUAACAGUGGUGCAUGGCUGUCUUCACUUCUUGUCGUGAGAUGUAGGUUAAGUU